This 253-nucleotide ribosomal RNA is filed under the name uncultured bacterium. Its description in RNAcentral is "partial 16S ribosomal RNA". It matches the Rfam family "Bacterial small subunit ribosomal RNA", at positions 524 to 776 of the family's 1533-position model. The record is from RNAcentral.
UACGGAGGGGGCUAGCGUUGUUCGGAAUUACUGGGCGUAAAGGGCGCGUAGGCGGCCUGCUAAGUCGAACGUGAAAUCCCCGGGCUCAACCCGGGAACUGCGUCCGAUACUGGCAGGCUUGAAUCCGGGAGAGGGAUGUGGAAUUCCAGGUGUAGCGGUGAAAUGCGUAGAUAUCUGGAGGAACACCGGUGGCGAAGGCGGCAUCCUGGACCGGUAUUGACGCUGAGGCGCGAAAGCUAGGGGAGCGAACGGG